RNAcentral lists this transfer RNA (76 nucleotides) under Polyangiaceae bacterium. RNAcentral describes it as "tRNA-Thr". It matches the Rfam family "tRNA". From Rfam's summary of the family: Transfer RNA (tRNA) molecules are approximately 80 nucleotides in length. Their secondary structure includes four short double-helical elements and three loops (D, anti-codon, and T loops). Lineage: Bacteria; Pseudomonadati; Myxococcota; Polyangiales; Polyangiaceae. The record is from RNAcentral.
GCUGGCGUAGCUCAAUCGGUAGAGCACCUGUUUUGUAAACAGGCGGUUGGGGGUUCAAGUCCCUUCGCCAGCUCCA